RNAcentral lists this unclassified non-coding RNA (378 nucleotides) under uncultured Thermoleophilia bacterium. Its description in RNAcentral is "contains 16S-23S intergenic spacer region". Lineage: Bacteria; Bacillati; Actinomycetota; Thermoleophilia. The record is from RNAcentral.
UCCGGUUUGUCACCGGCAGUCCCUCAUGAGUCCCCGGCAUUACCCGCUGGCAACAUGAGGCAGGGGUUGCGCUCGUUGCGGGACUUAACCCAACACCUCACGACACGAGCUGACGACAGCCAUGCACCACCUGUGCACAGGCCCCGAAGGGCUGCCGUGUUUCCACGACAUUCCUGUGCAUGUCAAGCCUUGGUAAGGUUCUUCGCGUCGCGUCGAAUUAAACGACAUGCUCCGCUGCUUGUGCGGGCCCCCGUCAAUUCCUUUGAGUUUUGGCCUUGCGGCCGUACUCCCCAGGCGGGGCACUUAAUGCGUUAGCUGCGGCACGGGAGGAGUCGACACCUCCCACACCUAGUGCCCAUCGUUUACAGCGUGGACUAC